GAUGAACGCUGGCGGCGUGCCUAAUACAUGCAAGUCGAGCGAACGGACGAGAAGCUUGUUUCUUUGAUGUUAGCGGCGGACGGGUGAGUAACACGUGGAUAACCUACUUAUAUUUCUGGGAUAAUUACGGAAAACCGGAUCUAAUACCGGAGAAUAUUUUGAACCGCAUGGUUCAAAAGUGAAAGUCGGUCUUGCUGUCUCUUAUAGAUGGUUCCGCGCUGCAUUAGCUAGUUGGUAAGGUAACGGCUUACCAAGGCAACGAUGCAUAGCCGACCUGAGAGGGUGAUCGGCCACACUGGAACUGAGACACGGUCCAGACUCCUACGGGAGGCAGCAGUAGGGAAUCUUCCGCAAUGGGCGAAAGCCUGACGCAGCAACGCCGCGUGAGUGAUGAAGGUCUUCGGAUCGUAAAACUCUGUUAUUGGGGAAGAACAUAUGUGUAAGUAACUGUGCACAUCUUGACGGUACCUAAUCAGAAAGCCACGGCUAACUACGUG
This 497-nucleotide ribosomal RNA is filed under the name uncultured bacterium. RNAcentral's name for it is "partial 16S ribosomal RNA". It matches the Rfam family "Bacterial small subunit ribosomal RNA", at positions 28 to 507 of the family's 1533-position model. The record is from RNAcentral.